This is a transfer RNA of Ipomoea nil (Japanese morning glory), 72 nucleotides long. It matches the Rfam family "tRNA". Rfam says of the family: Transfer RNA (tRNA) molecules are approximately 80 nucleotides in length. Lineage: Eukaryota; Viridiplantae; Streptophyta; Magnoliopsida; Solanales; Convolvulaceae. The record is from Rfam.
GCCUUCGUAGCUCAGUGGUAGAGCGUGUGGCUUUUAACCACGUGGUUGUGGGUUUGAUCCCCACAAACGGUG